AGACCAGGUCCGGAUGCUGCGAGUGCUGCGCCUGUCCCGGGACCCUCGACCGGGCGACUCCCCCGGGGCGGGGGUGGCGUGUGGUCUCUAGACAACUGAGGGAAAGUAGACAGACCGUGCUCACCGAUUUAAAAGAACAGCCCUGAAAUGACCCCCGUUACACCCUGUUCUCUUUAGACAAGUUACUUCCACCUGGAGCGGUUUCUGGGCCCGGGUAUGGGGAUUUCUUCACCCGGCCCCCUAGGCUUUCACCUCGGUGGAAUUUCCCGCGCCCCCGCUGGGAUGAUUUAGGGACUGUUGGCUAGAACUGCCCUUGCCUACCGCCCUACUGCGGGCGCUCCCCUGUCUGGGGGGUGCUUGGCUGGGUGUGGAGAAGGAUCAAUCACAGCUGACUCCUCAGAGGUGACAGCCCCUGCCCCCUUAAAAACAAGAAAAGACCUAGCAGUGUGAAGCCAAACUGCACCCCCAGCCCCGGUGACAUGAGGAAACCGUGAGGCGCUCAGCCUGAGGUUCAUCGUUCAUCUCCUUCCUGCUUGGAAUCAGAAUGUCCUCACUGCUGAGUUUCUCCGUUUUAUGGGAUUACAUUAGUGGACAAAGGAGUGAAGCAAAGCAGCACUGAGCUCCUCCAAGUAAAGAAAGAAUUGUUUUCUGUACAACCUGGAGCUGAAUCAUAGAAGGAGAAGACAGCUUGAAAGAUAAGAGGCCGUAAGGCAGACCACAGAGGAUGGGGAGGAUUUCCCCAGCACCCCAGCCCCCAUAGUCAGCUCUGGUUCAGCGAUUUCAGCAACUCUUUCAUGACCCAUCUGAUUUUGUUUUAUCCCAGCCCUGCAGAGAAAGGACUCUGCAGGUCAGGACUUGCUUCUUCAACAGACAAAAACUCCUCUGCCAGAAAAGUUGGAGAAACUAGUUUAGAAAGUCGGAGGAUGUGAAGAAGUCUGCCUUUGUUCUGGGGACCUUGGUGGGAGAUGAGGGUGGGCUGGUGGAGACGAGGGUGAGAAUGAACCUUGCCGCAGACCCUUUGGGCUCCAUGCAGAGCUGGCUGCAGAAGAGGAAGGAAAGGAAAUUGGCCAGCUGCUGUCUCUGUGACUGGACCUGGGCCAAUCAAGAAACUGAGAGGAGCAGGGCCAGCCGGCUGUUGUGCCUCAAACUUAGGCAGAAACAAGCAAAGGCAAGGAUUUGGGGCUCUGAGUCACCCUCUCUGGAGGAACAAGAGCUUAGAGGAGGAAAUCACUUUUUAAGCUCCCUUUACUUUUACACACACGUUUUUAUUCCAGUAAAUUCAAACUAAAGAGGAAGAAGUCAUGAAAGGGCAGCUGCCACCUCAGGCCAUGGUGGCGGAGACAAAGGCUAUGGGCCGGUGUAGACGUCUAAGAAACCAACAGGAAGUCCCAGCCGGAAACACAGAAAGGAUAUGGAGAAAAUUAUUAUUCUGCCCCUACAGUUUCGGUGACCCAGAUGGGAUCUCUGGGACACCCUGCCUGCUCUACAAUUGGGAUCCCUGGAAAAGUGACAGAAUCUGGCAACAGAUGAGUAAGAAAGGUCACUUCCUGGCAGACCUCAGGUAUAUUGGGGACAUCAAGAAAAGAAUAAUUCAUCAAAGUCUACAGAUAUUGCAGGCAAAGUUGAAACAAGCCAGACAAGUUCUCUUUGUAUUCUUGAGAGACUUGGAAAGUCUAACCUGAGAUUCCUUAUUAAAAGUUCCAGCAAAACAGACUUAAAAAGAGCCUAUAUGAUUUUUUUUUAAUUAAAAAGUAAACUUUAAUGUCGAAAAUGCGAACUUGGGGAAGACAGAAAAGAUCACAAACAAGGCUGUCACGUCACACUUGGAAGGUUGUACAGUGGCCAGGCAGAGGCACUCCUCACUUCCCAGAUGGGGCGACGGCUGGGCAGUGGCACUCCUCACUUCCCAGAUGGGGUGGCCGGGCAGAGGUGCUCCUCACUUCCCAGACAGUGGGGCAGCUGGGCAGCGGCGCUCUUCACUUGCCAGACAGGGCGGCAGCUGGGCAGACGCGCUCCUCACAUCCCAGAUGGGGUGGUGGCCGGGCAGAGGCACUCCUCAUUUGCCAGACAGUGGGCAGCUGGGCAGAGAUGCUCCUCACUUCCCAGACAGGGCAGAAGCUGGGGAGAGGCGCUCCUCACUUCCCAGACAGUGGGCAGCCGGACAGAGGCACUCCUCACUUCCCAGACUGUGGGGCGGCCGGGCAGAGGGGCACCUCACUUCCCAGAUGGGGUAGCCGGGCAGAGGCGCUCCUUACUUCCCAGACAGUUGGGCGGCUGGGCAGAGGCGCUCCUCACUUCCCAGACGGUGGGAAGCUGGGCAGUGGUGCUCCUGACAUCCCAGAUGGGGAGGCCAGGCAGAGGCCCUCAUCACUUCCCAGACAGGCUGGCCGGGCAGAGGUGCUCCUCACUUCCCAGUCAGUUGGGCAGCCGGGGAGAGGUGCUUCUCACUUCCCAGACAGUGGGCAGCCGGGCAGAGGCGCUCCUCACUUCCCAGACAGUUGGCAGCCGGGCAGAGGGGCUCCUCACUUCCCAGAUGGUUGGCAGCUGGGCAGAGGCACUCCUCACAUCCCAGAUGGUGGGCAGCUGGGCAGAGGUGAUCCUCACUUCCCAGACGGGGCGGUGGCUGGGCAGAGGCGCUCCUCACUUCCCAGAUGGGGCAGUGGCCAAGAGCCUAUAUGAUUAAUCACUACUCUUGUUGCACUUAAUCAGGGCAAGUAUAAAGAGACUAGACUUAUUUUGCAAAUUAGUCUUUACUGUGACUAUCUUUGGUAGAAAUGGAGGUGACAGAGAGAAAUAUUAUGUUUUAGUAAAAAAAACUAUUAUGCACCUGUAAAAAGUAAAGUAGAGGUUCCUCUUCAAAGACUUUCCUCCCCGUCUGAUUAGGAACAAAUAGUAACUUCUCUUAGAAGCAAAAUUUAUUCAAAGACCUGUGCUAACAUUCUUAAAUAUCUGCUAGCCGUAAUAAAGAAAUCAAUGUACUUUAUGUUAGCUCCCACAAUUUAGCCUAAAUAUUUGCCCUGGCAUGCUUAUACUGGUCCAAGAAAGCAUUAGGUCACAGCCUGUUCUUCUUCCUUAUUUGAAGGUGUUUUUACCUUUCUCAGCAUUCCACGUUACCUCCUCCUUCCUUUGUUCUCCUCUGCCUUUGCCUCUUUUAAAAAGUUCUGAGUUGCUAGAAUACAGAAUGUGAGGUCCUGUUGCAGCCAAUGGAAACUGGGCACAGCAGUAGGGUGGAUGCGUCGGGUUAUAAAUGACCCUGACUCCUUUGUUCGGUGUACUCUCAUGGCAAAACUGCUGGCGAGUGUACCCUUUCUGCAGAAAGUAUACAAAUGGCCUUGCUGAGUAAAUUAAAUUUAUGUUCAAGUGCUAUUUCUUUACAGCACCAGGGAACAAGCAUUUCAAACACACCUGUGACUAGAUUCUAGUUCUGUUCAUUGUCUUUGAAGUUUUGUUAUUUACCUGCAAACUGGACUGGAUCCCCAAUUCUAGUUUCCUCCAAUAUCUGGUUAUGACUCUCCAAACUAACAUUCCAAUUUUUUUCCAACCCUUCUGACUUGGAAUCACUAAGAACAAACUGCUCUUUUCAUGAAGCUGCAAAAGCUGAAGCUGCUUGACUUGAUAUUAACUUUAGAGUAUCGAUGAAGAGUCAGACUCUUUGAUUGAUGAUCCAAUCAAACAUUUGAUUGAUGUCAAAUGUAUUCAUCAUCAAUCAAAUACAUUUGAGAAAUACAUUGGUUUGGUCCAGAAAGACAAGACAACUCAAAGCAGGGGCUUUCAGGCUAUAGGUAAAUUGAAACAUUUUCUGGUUGAAAAUUGGUUGAAUUUGUCUAAGACCUGCAAUGAUAGAAAGGAAAUGUUCAGGUUAAGAUAAAAGAUUGUGGAGACCAAGGUUCUUUUGAAGUCUUAUAGUGGCUGCCCUUAGAGACAAUAGAUGAUAAAUUUUCCUAUUCAGAUCUUUAAAAGGUGCUAGACUCUUCGUUAAUCUCUUCAGGAUUGGAAGGGCCUGGAAGAAAAAGAUCUAGCUUUGUUAAUAGAGAUUCUUUACAGAUACAAAUUUUCCCCCACAAAGGACAGCUUUGCAGGGCCAUUUCAAAAUAUGGCAAAGAAACAUGUUUUGGGUUAAAAUAUUUUAACUUUCUUCUUUGUCAUGUUAUGCUAGAGUCAGAUUGGAAAGUACGUCACAAUACAUAGGGUUAAAUAAAACCCAUCUGAUGAGAAUGUAUGGUUUGUAGAGGAAUGACCCCUUUGUACUUUUUAAGGUAUGAUGAUUCAUUUGGAAUUUCCUUUUGUAUGAGGAAUGAGGAAGAGAUUCAGCACUAUUUCUUUUCCCCAGUGGGCUAGCUUAUUAUUCCAGACAUUUAUUUAAAAAUCUAUCUUGGCUGGGUGCAGUGGCUCACGCCUGUAAUCCCAGCACAUUGGGAGGCCAGCGCAGGAGGAUUGCUUGAGCUCAGGAGUUCAAGACCAGCCUCAUCAACCUAGUGAGACUUGGUCUUUACCAAAAAUUUAAAAAAUUAGCUGGGUGUGGUGGCACGCACCGGUAGUCCCAGCUAUUAGUGAGGUGGUGUUGCUCAUCUGGGGUAAUACCUGAGGUUCAUUGCCUCACACCAAGGAAAUAGAGGAUGCAGACACACGCAGGAGUGAGUUUAAGAGCAGAGGUUUAAUAGGCAAAAGAAAGAGAAUAGCUGUCUCUCCUACAGAGAGAGAGGGACUCCUGAGUGGGUCAUCCGGUUCUGUGGUGGAAUGCAUGGGGUUUAUAGAGGAGCUUGAGGAGGCAGUGUCUGAUUUACAUAGGGCACAAGACCUUGGUUGGACCAGGUGUGCCGUUUGCAUAGUGCGAAGAAGCUGGCCAUCCCACCCUAAUCUUUUAUUAUGCAGAUGGGGUCUCUACCUGGCCAGUGCCAUGUCACCUGCUCUUUUACUGCAUAUGUGGGGACAAAGAAAAGGGAAGAUGGAGCCUCCAUGUUGAACAUGCCUGGCCUCCAGGUAGCCUUUUCCUAUUGGCGCAGCAGCCAGCAUUCACUUAUGCAAGCUUCCAGCUUGCUUAUCUAUGUCUGCAGCUUGAUUUUACAGGCUCUCAGUCUGCCUUAUGCCCCUUGGAUGAAUUCUUUCCUCUGAAGAGGCAAGAAAUGAGGUUGCUGCAGACCUGUAUGGAUUUGUCACUGCUAACAAUCUCUCCAUUUGUUACUUUUCUUUUCUUUUCUUUUUUUUUUUUUUUGAGAUGGAGUCUUGCUCUAUUGCCUAGGCUGGAGUGCAGUGACACAAUCUCAGCUCACGGCAACCUCUGCCCCAGGUUCAAGUGAUUCUCCUGUCUCACCCUCCCUAGUAGCUGGGAUUACAGGUGUCUGCCACCAUGCCUGGCUAAUUUUUGUAUUUUUAGUAGAUGUAGAAAGUAAAAAGUUUCCUCUUCAAAGUUUUCCUUCUUGUUAAAGAAUAAAUCAUAAGUGUUAGGAAAAAUAGUUUCUUUUAAAGACUAACUUUCUUCAAGCCUCCUUGCUUUGUGCUAAUAACUCUUUGUUAAACCCUAUCCUAUGUAACUGUUGGACAUGCUCACAGGCACGUUCCAGCUCACAGCCUAUGCCCCUUCCUUAUAUGGACAUGUUAUUGCUUCCUUAAACCUUCCGUAAGCAACUUCUUUGUUCUUCCCUGCACUAACCUAUUGAGGAAAGUUUUAGGCUAUUAGCAAAUCAGGUAUCAGUUUAAGAUUGUGAGGUCCUGCUCCAGCCAAUGGAUGCAGGAUACAGCAGUAGAGACGACCCAAAUGCUUAAGGGAUAACUAUGUCUGCUUUUCCUUUGUUCAAGUGUGCUCUCGCCAUUGUUCCAUCUGUGAGUGAGCACCCUUUCUGCAGAAAGUAAAGAUGGCCUUGCUGAGAGAUCUUUUGUCUCUGUGCUUUCUUUUGUUCGUGGCACCGAUGAUCUAUUUCUAACACUUUUGGUAUUUCUAGCAGUAGAGGUGGGGUUUCACCAUGUUGGCCAGGCUGGUCUCGUUGGCCAGGCUGGUCUCGAGCUCCUGACCUCAAGUGAUCUGCCCACCUUGGCCUCCCAAAGUGCUGGGCAAAGUGCUGGGAUUACAGGUGUGAGCCACUGCGUGCAGCCCUCCAUUUGUUUCUCUAGGAGCUAUUUUAAUUACUAUAACUUCAUAAUAUGUUUUUUUGUUUGUUUGUGAGACAGGGUCUCACUCUGUUGCCCAGGCUGGAGUACAGUGGUGUGAUCAUAGCUCACUGCAGCCUUGAUCCUCCAGGUUCUAGCAAUCCUUCUGCCUCAGCCUCCUGAGUAGCUGGAAUUACAGACACACACCACUGAAACCACCUUUACAAAAAGUAUAUCAGUGGGAAAAUGAUGGCAGUGGGAAAGAUCUGAUCUUGCCAAGCCCCAUCACCACCGUUCCCUGCCCCCACCUCCUCACCCCUCCCGGCCCUGUCUUUGGCCUUCUGGCUGCCCUUAAUUAUUCCUGGGCUUAGGCCAAGAUAACUUUGGGAGACAUUUAGUUUAUAGUUUAAACGAUAGUAGCCCUUCCCCAAACUCAGCUGCCUUUAUAAUCCUAAUGAGGGAGCACCAGGCUAGGAGGAUAGAAGAUCCUGAAUUCUGCUAGGGUGUAGAUGUAAAUGAUUGGCAGCCAUUAUUCUGAAGGUCACAAAAUAUGCAACUUCCCCCAAUUACCCCUGCAGAUAACAUCACUAACAUAGAACCAAUGAUUGGCCUUUUGAGAUGUCUUUUCAGGUUUUUUUGUAUGUCUGAUACCGAUGGCUCCACCUGGAUCCACCAACUACUCCCGUGGCCCCACCCAGAAGUGACUCAGUGCCCAGGAGGACUAUUUCCCACACCCCUGUGAUUGCAUUACCAACCAACCAGCAGCAAGCAAUCAUUACCUAGUCACCCCAACCCCUUUCCCCAAACUACCUUUGAAAAACCCUAGCCCCCAAAUGCCCUAGGAGACUUAUUUGAGUAAUAAAAACAAACAAACAAACAAACAAAAACCUCUAGUUUUUCAUUCGGCCAGCUCUAUGUGAAUUAAACUCUUUCUCCACUGCAAUUCCCCUGCCUUGAUAAAUUGGCUCUAUCUGGGCAGUGGACAAGAAUUCACUGGGCAGUUACACCACCACACCCAGCUGAAUUUUUUUUUUUUAUUUUUAGUGAAGACGAGGUUUCACUGUGUUGCUCAAGCUGGUCUCGAACUCCUGAGCUCAAGUGAUCCUCCUACCUCCACCUCCCAAAGUGCCAGGAUGACAGGUGUGAGCUACCGUGCCCAUCCCAUAAUGUCUUAACAUCUGGAGAAUAAUACAUGUUUUCUUUAAUCCUCAAAAUAAUUCAGUGAGUAAAAUCCUUCUUCCAUGAUUGCAAAUGAGGAAAUGGAACAGCGGUGAAGCAACUUGUCCCUGGCCACAGGGAUGUUAAGUGCAACCCUGAGAUCUGCACUAGCCUCUGCAUUUCUCUCCAGGGCCUUUUUGAAUGCAUGGCCUUCUAGUAGAGCUUUGUAGGUUCUCAUGUCAUCCUAAGACUCAGAAAGUCCAUCAGGUUUCCCCUGGUAGAAUCAAAAGUCUUGUAGUUUAUUGGUCUUGUUAGUCUUAGUCCCAGUUAAUAAAAAAACAUAUAUAUAUAUGUACACACACACACACACACACACACACAUAUAUAUACAUGCAUAUAUAAAUUAUAGGGAUAUUUUGUCUUUUUUUUUGAAACAG
RNAcentral lists this long non-coding RNA (7679 nucleotides) under Homo sapiens (human). RNAcentral describes it as "non-protein coding lnc-PLAT-3:14". The record is from RNAcentral. Lineage: Eukaryota; Metazoa; Chordata; Mammalia; Primates; Hominidae.